AGUCGAGGGGUAACAUUGUAGCUUGCUACAGAUGACGACCGGCGCACGGGUGAGUAACGCGUAUGCAACCUGCCUUUGACAGGGGGAUAGCCCGGAGAAAUCCGGAUUAAUAUCCCAUGGUAUUUACGAAUCGCAUGGUUUGUAAAUUAAAGAUUUUAUCGGUCAAAGAUGGGCAUGCGUGACAUUAGCUAGUUGGUAAGGUAACGGCUUACCAAGGCUGCGAUGUCUAGGGGUUCUGAGAGGAUGAUCCCCCACACUGGUACUGAGACACGGACCAGACUCCUACGGGAGGCAGCAGUGAGGAAUAUUGGUCAAUGGGCGCAAGCCUGAACCAGCCAUCCCGCGUGAAGGAAGACUGCCCUAUGGGUUGUAAACUUCUUUUCUGCACCAAGAAUGGUUACUACGUGUAGUGAUUUGACGGUAGUGCAGGAAUAAGCAUCGGCUAACUCCGUGCCAGCAGCCGCGGUAAUACGGAGGAUGCAAGCGUUAUCCGGAUUCAUUGGGUUUAAAGGGUACGUAGGUGGCCAAUUAAGUCAGUGGUGAAAUCCUGCCGCUUAACGGUAGAACUGCCAUUGAAACUGGUUGGCUUGAGUACAGUUGAGGUAGGCGGAAUGUGUAGUGUAGCGGUGAAAUGCUUAGAUAUUACACAGAACCCCGAUUGCGAAGGCAGCUUACUAAACUGUAACUGACACUGAGUGCGAAAGCGUGGGGAGCGAACAGGAUAGAUACCCUGGUAGUCCACGCUGU
Molecule: ribosomal RNA, 747 nt
Filed under: uncultured Sphingobacteriia bacterium
Lineage: Bacteria; Pseudomonadati; Bacteroidota; Sphingobacteriia
Description: bacterial SSU rRNA
Rfam family: Bacterial small subunit ribosomal RNA
Source: RNAcentral